GUCUUUUGAGUACCUUCGUUUCCUCGGCGGGUCCGCCCGCCGAUUGGACAACAUUCAAACCCUUUGCAGUUGCAAUCAGCGUCUGAAAAAACAUAAUAGUUACAACUUUCAACAACGGAUCUCUUGGUUCUGGCAUCGAUGAAGAACGCAGCGAAAUGCGAUAAGUAGUGUGAAUUGCAGAAUUCAGUGAAUCAUCGAAUCUUUGAACGCACAUUGCGCCCCUUGGUAUUCCAUGGGGCAUGCCUGUUCGAGCGUCAUUUGUACCUUCAAGCUCUGCUUGGUGUUGGGUGUUUGUCUCGCCUCUGCGUGUAGACUCGCCUUAAAACAAUUGGCAGCCGGCGUAUUGAUUUCGGAGCGCAGUACAUCUCGCGCUUUGCACUCAUAACGACGACGUCCAAAAGUACAUUUUUACACUCUUGACCUCGGAUCAGGUAGGGAUACCCGCUGAACUUAAGCAUAUC
This 461-nucleotide ribosomal RNA is filed under the name Epicoccum nigrum. RNAcentral describes it as "eukaryotic LSU rRNA". The stretch from base 104 to 257 matches the Rfam family "5.8S ribosomal RNA". The record is from RNAcentral. Lineage: Eukaryota; Fungi; Ascomycota; Dothideomycetes; Pleosporales; Didymellaceae.